AUACUUUGUUAUCCUGGAAUUGUCUCCUGUCACAUACAUAGACUCAAGCGCCGUGGAAGCUAUUAAAAAAUUGUACGAGGAGUAUAAAACAAGAGACAUUCAGCUUGCGAUAUCGAACCCGAACAAAGAGGUUCUAUUGAUUCUGGCAAGAUCAGGCAUUGUGGAACUUAUUGGCAGAGAAUGGUUCUACGUGAGAGUACAUGAUGCAGUCCAAGUUU
Camelina sativa (false flax) is the source of this 218-nucleotide non-coding RNA. The record is from RefSeq and is a predicted model, not a curated record. NCBI's taxonomy places the organism in Eukaryota, Viridiplantae, Streptophyta, Magnoliopsida, Brassicales, Brassicaceae.